GGCUCAGUGGUCCAAUGGUAAAGUGCUCAUUGCGGUGACAGAGGGUUCUGGGUUCAAUCCCCAACAGGGUCG
This 72-nucleotide transfer RNA is filed under the name Schistosoma japonicum. RNAcentral's name for it is "tRNA-OTHER". Lineage: Eukaryota; Metazoa; Platyhelminthes; Trematoda; Strigeidida; Schistosomatidae. The record is from RNAcentral.